AUGAGGGUGUCGUAUUUUUGGAUUCUGAGAACCGAAUCUUUGCUACGUAUUCUAUAUAUUCCAUUCCAGGUCGGUACUUCAGUCAGAUGGGGAACCGAUACUUGAUAAAGCAGACCACAUUACCAGCACAUCUACUAAAAACAUGGCGGAAACAGGCUUUUGAUGUCUACAUUUACGUCUCAGGUACAUCUGAGGGUACUGCUUCUGAAGAGAUUUGAAAGAUCGUCUUCUGACAAUUGCGUGGGAGUUGUCUGAUGAGAGUAACAACAUUCAAGGCCUUCCUAGAUUUUUUCGAAUUUCUUAAAGAUUUGUGAACAU
Haliotis rubra (blacklip abalone) is the source of this 318-nucleotide long non-coding RNA. RefSeq lists it as uncharacterized. The record is from RefSeq and is a predicted model, not a curated record. The transcript is spliced from 3 exons. Lineage: Eukaryota; Metazoa; Mollusca; Gastropoda; Lepetellida; Haliotidae.